ACGUGAGCAAUCUGCCCUUGACUCUGGGAUAAGCGUUGGAAACGACGUCUAAUACCGGAUACGACCCUKGGAGGCAUCUCCCGGGGUGGAAAGAAUUUUGGUCAGGGAUGAGCUCGCGGCCUAUCAGCUAGUUGGUGAGGUAAUGGCUCACCAAGGCGACGACGGGUAGCCGGCCUGAGAGGGUGACCGGCCACACUGGGACUGAGACACGGCCCAGACUCCUACGGGAGGCAGCAGUGGGGAAUAUUGCACAAUGGGCGAAAGCCUGAUGCAGCAACGCCGCGUGAGGGACGACGGCCUUCGGGUUGUAAACCUCUUUUAGUAGGGAAGAAGCGAAAGUGACGGUACCUGCAGAAAAAGCACCGGCUAACUACGUGCCAGCAGCCGCGGUAAUACGUAGGGUGCAAGCGUUGUCCGGAAUUAUUGGGCGUAAAGAGCUCGUAGGCGGUUUGUCGCGUCUGCUGUGAAAACCCGAGGCUCAACCUCGGGCCUGCAGUGGGUACGGGCAGACUAGAGUGCGGUAGGGGAGAUUGGAAUUCCUGGUGUAGCGGUGGAAUGCGCAGAUAUCAGGAGGAACACCAAUGGCGAAGGCAGAUCUCUGGGCCGUAACUGACGCUGAGGAGCGAAAGCAUGGGGAGCGAACAGGAUUAGAUACCCUGGUAGUCCAUGCCGUAAACGUUGGGAACUAGAUGUGGGGACCAUUCCACGGUCUCCGUGUCGCAGCUAACGCAUUAAGUUCCCCGCCUGGGGAGUACGGCCGCAAGGCUAAAACUCAAAGGAAUUGACGGGGGCCCGCACAAGCGGCGGAGCAUGCGGAUUAAUUCGAUGCAACGCGAAGAACCUUACCAAGGCUUGACAUAUAGAGGAAACGGCUGGAAACAGUCGCCCCGCAAGGUCUCUAUACAGGUGGUGCAUGGUUGUCGUCAGCUCGUGUCGUGAGAUGUUGGGUUAAGUCCCGCAACGAGCGCAACCCUCGUCCUAUGUUGCCAGCACGUAAUGGUGGGAACUCAUGGGAUACUGCCGGGGUCAACUCGGAGGAAGGUGGGGAUGACGUCAAAUCAUCAUGCCCCUUAUGUCUUGGGCUUCACGCAUGCUACAAUGGCCGGUACAAAGGGCUGCAAUACCGCAAGGUGGAGCGAAUCCCAAAAAGCCGGUCUCAGUUCGGAUUGAGGUCUGCAACUCGACCUCAUGAAGUCGGAGUCGCUAGUAAUCGCAGAUCAGCAACGCUGCGGUGAAUACGUUCCCGGGCCUUGUACACACCGCCCGUCAAGUCAUGAAAGUCGGUAACACCCGAAGC
Molecule: ribosomal RNA, 1297 nt
Filed under: Cryobacterium psychrotolerans
Lineage: Bacteria; Bacillati; Actinomycetota; Actinomycetes; Micrococcales; Microbacteriaceae
Description: bacterial SSU rRNA
Rfam family: Bacterial small subunit ribosomal RNA
Source: RNAcentral